RNAcentral lists this ribosomal RNA (254 nucleotides) under uncultured bacterium. Its description in RNAcentral is "partial 16S ribosomal RNA". It matches the Rfam family "Bacterial small subunit ribosomal RNA", at positions 524 to 776 of the family's 1533-position model. The record is from RNAcentral.
UACGUAGGGUGCGAGCGUUAAUCGGAAUUACUGGGCGUAAAGCGUGCGUAGGCGGUUCGUUAAGUUCGUUGUGAAAGCCCCGGGCUCAACCUGGGAAUGGCAAUGGAAACUGGCGGGCUGGAGUAUGGCAGAGGGGGGUGGAAUUCCGCGUGUAGCAGUGAAAUGCGUAGAGAUGUGGAGGAAUACCGAUGGCGAAGGCAGCCCCCCUGGGAUAACACUGACGCUCAUGCACGAAAGCGUGGGGAGCAAACAGG